Molecule: ribosomal RNA, 1615 nt
Filed under: human gut metagenome
Description: bacterial LSU rRNA
Rfam family: Bacterial large subunit ribosomal RNA
Source: RNAcentral
GUGAUAGCUGGUUCUCCCCGAAAUAUAUUGAGGUAUAGCCUUGCGGAUUGUCUUAUGGAGGUAAAGCUCUGACAGAACUAGGGGUCCUAUCCGACUACCGAAUUCUUUCAAACUCUGAAUACCAUUAAGAUCUACCGCAGGAGUCAGACGGCGGGUGCUAAGGUUCGUCGUCAAAAGGGCAACAGCCCAGACCGACAGCUAAGGCCUCCAAAUGCAUGCUCAGUGGUUAAGGUGGUGGCGUUGUGCAGACACCCAGGACGUUGGCUUAGAAGCAGCCAUCGUUUAAAGAAAGCGUAAUAGCUCACUGGUUCAAUGGCGCUGCGCCGAAAAUGUAACGGGGCUAAGCAUGCUGCCGAAGCUUCGGAUUUGUCUCUGACAACUGGUAGGGGAGCGUUCUCUGCGGGCUGAAGCGGAACCGAAAGGUUUCGUGGACUGCAGAGAAGUGAUUAUGCUGACAUGAGUAACGAUAAAAUAUGUGAAAAACAUAUUCGCCGUAAAUCCAAGGUUUCCUGGGUAAAGGUAAUCUUCCCAGGGUUAGUCGGACCCUAAGGCCAGGCUGAAAGGCGUAGCUGAUGGGAAACGGGUUAAUAAUCCUGUACUUGUGCGAUUGUGCGAAGAAGGGACGCAGGAUGGUAGACAGGCCGGUUUUUGGAAUCCGGUGCAAGUGUGUAGGUAUGCUCCGCAGGCAAAUCCGCGGGGAUGAGCCGAGACACGAGUCCGUGGGCGUAAGCCCUGAAGCUGUUGAGCCACGGCUGCCAAGAAAAGCUUCUAAGUUUAGAUCGCGCGAACCGUACCGCAAACCAACUCAGGUGGAUGGGAUGAAUAAUCCAAGGCGCUCGAGAGAACUCUGGCCAAGGAACUCGGCAAAUUGACCCCGUACCUUCGGAAUAAGGGGUGCUCCCCACGGUGAGACAAAUUCUUGUUCAGCCCCGGGGAGCCGCAGAGAAAUGGUGGUGGCGACUGUUUACUAAAAACAUAGGUCUGUGCGAAGUCCUACAGACGACGUAUACGGACUGACGCCUGCCCGGUGCCGGAAGGUUAAAAGGAGGAGUCAGCGCAAGCGAAGCUCCGAUUUGAAGCCCCGGUAAACGGCGGCCGUAACUAUAACGGUCCUAAGGUAGCGAAAUUCCUUGUCGGGCAAGUUCCGACCUGCACGAAUGGCGUAACGAUCUCCACGCUGUCUCGGCCAGAGACUCGGUGAAAUUGAAGUCGCGGUGAAAAUGCCGUGUACCCGCAGAAAGACGGAAAGACCCUGUGCACCUUUACUAUAGCUUGACAUUGGGUUUUGAACCUGCAUGUGUAGGAUAGGUGGGAGGCUGUGAAAGCUGUACGCCAGUAUGGCCGGAGCCACCCGUGAAAUACCACCCUUGUUUGUUCAGGACCCUAACUCGCAGCUGUAAUCCAGCGCGAAGACAGUGUCUGGUGGGUAGUUUGACUGGGGCGGUCGCCUCCUAAAGAGUAACGGAGGCAUGCAAAGGUUCCCUCAGGCUGAUUGGAAACCAGCCGUUGAGUGCAAGCGCAUAAGGGAGCCUGACUGCAAGAGAGACAUCUCGAACAGAUACGAAAGUAGGUGCUAGUGAUCCGGUGGUCCCGAAUGGAAGGGCCAUCGCUCAUU